Molecule: ribosomal RNA, 903 nt
Filed under: uncultured Chloroflexaceae bacterium
Lineage: Bacteria; Bacillati; Chloroflexota; Chloroflexia; Chloroflexales; Chloroflexaceae
Description: bacterial SSU rRNA
Rfam family: Bacterial small subunit ribosomal RNA
Source: RNAcentral
GUGGCGCACGGCUGAGUAACACGUGGAACCCGCCCCCCGGUGGGGGAUAACGGGACGAAAGUUGCUAAUCCCGCAUACGUCCGCAGGGGGAAAGCGCUUCGGCGCGCCGGGGGAGGUGCCUGUGGCCAUCAGGUCGUUGGUGGGGUAACGGCCUACCAAGCCGAUGACGGGUAGCUGGUCUGGGAGGAUGACCAGCCAGACUGGGACUGAGACAAGGCCCAGACUCCUACGGGAGGCAGCAGCAAGGAAUUUUUGGCAAUGGGCGCAAGCUGACCGAGCAACGCCGCGUGCGGGAUGACGGCCUUCGGGUUGUAAACCGCUUUUCGGGGGGACGAUGAUGACGGUACCCCCGGAACAAGCCCCGGCUAACUCUGUGCCAGCAGCCGCGGUAAGACAGAGGGGGCGAGCAUUGUCCGGAGUCACUGGGCGUAAAGCGCGCGCAGGCGGUCGCCAAAGUGUCGUGUGAAAGCCCCCGGCUCAACCGGGGGAGGCCAUGGCAAACUCGGCGACUGGAUGCGGCGGAGAGGCCCCUCGAAUUGCCGGUGUAGCGGUGAAAUGCGUAGAGAUCGGCAGGAAGACCAAGGGGGAAGCCAGGGUGCUGGCCGCUGCUGACGCUGAGGCGCGACAGCGUGGGGAGCGAACCGGAUUAGAUACCCGGGUAGUCCACGCCGUAAACAAUGACCACUCGGCGUGCGGCGACUAUUGACGUCGCGGUGCGCCUUAGCUCACGCGCUAAGUGGUCCGCCUGGGAACUACGAGCGCAAGCUUAAAACUCAAAGGAAUUGACGGGGGCCCGCACAAGCAGCGGAGCGUGUGGUUUAAUUCGAGGCAACCCGAAGAACCUUACCCAGGCUUGACAUGACGGUGCAGACGGCGGAAACGCCGUCGCCUGCGAGGGUCCGU